This is a long non-coding RNA of Penaeus chinensis, 243 nucleotides long. RefSeq lists it as uncharacterized. The transcript is spliced from 3 exons. The record is from RefSeq and is a predicted model, not a curated record. Lineage: Eukaryota; Metazoa; Arthropoda; Malacostraca; Decapoda; Penaeidae.
CAGAUAUGGCGAAGCCCCUCCUGUGAUUUUACCAAGACGUCGCCAAGCCUUCACUGGUAUGGUGCACACAGGACAGCGGGGCCGUCCGGCCGGGCAAGCCAUCGUCACUGAGGUGGAAGACGCCAUCGACAUCUACUACAAAAAUUCCUCGCCCGUUGGUGACGUCACAAGGCAACUCAAGAGCUACAAGAGACUGCAGGCCACCACCGCCAGGUUCAGCAGGUCACGGCCUGUCAUUCCGCC